AUGUUAUCAAGAAAGGCUGAGGGAAUAGACCCUAUGAAGCCUUAGCAACCCUUUCACUUAGAAAGAAGGUGCUACAUUCUACAGUACAGCCAAUCAUUUCUGGUUUGUACAGAUAGAUAACCC
This 123-nucleotide non-coding RNA is filed under the name Croceibacter atlanticus HTCC2559. Its description in RNAcentral is "SAM riboswitch aptamer (S box leader)". It matches the Rfam family "SAM riboswitch aptamer (S box leader)". Rfam says of the family: The SAM riboswitch is found upstream of a number of genes which code for proteins involved in methionine or cysteine biosynthesis in Gram-positive bacteria. The SAM riboswitch acts at the level of transcription termination control. Lineage: Bacteria; Pseudomonadati; Bacteroidota; Flavobacteriia; Flavobacteriales; Flavobacteriaceae. RNAcentral also lists the same sequence under 1 other name. The record is from Rfam by way of RNAcentral.